Molecule: ribosomal RNA, 498 nt
Filed under: uncultured Actinomycetes bacterium
Lineage: Bacteria; Bacillati; Actinomycetota; Actinomycetes
Description: bacterial SSU rRNA
Rfam family: Bacterial small subunit ribosomal RNA
Source: RNAcentral
UGGGGAAUCUUGCGCAAUGGGCGAAAGCCUGACGCAGCAACGCCGCGUGCGGGAUGAAGGCCUUCGGGUUGUAAACCGCUUUCAGCAGGGAAGAAAUUGACGGUACCUGCAGAAGAAGCCCCGGCCAACUACGUGCCAGCAGCCGCGGCAACACGUAGGGGGCGAGCGUUGUCCGGAUUUAUUGGGCGUAAAGAGCUCGUAGGCGGUUCGCUAAGUCGGGUGUGAAACCUCCAGGCUCAACCUGGAGACACCACCUGAUACUGGUGUGACUAGAGUCCGGUAGGGGAGUGUGGAACUCCUGGUGUAGCGGUGAAAUGCGCAGAUAUCAGGAAGAACACCAGCGGCGAAGGCGGCACUCUGGGCCGGUACUGACGCUGAGGAGCGAAAGCGUGGGUAGCAAACAGGAUUAGAUACCCUGGUAGUCCACGCCGUAAACGUUGGGCACUAGGUGUGGGUCUCGAACCAACGAGAUCCGUGCCGCAGCUAACGCAUUAAGUG